GCCAGACUCCUACGGGAGGCAGCAGUGGGGAAUAUUGCACAAUGGGGGGAACCCUGAUGCAGCGACGCCGCGUGAGGGAAGAAGGUUUUCGGAUUGUAAACCUCUGUCCUCUGUGACGAUAAUGACGGUAGCAGAGGAGGAAGCCACGGCUAACUACGUGCCAGCAGCCGCGGUAAUACGUAGGGGGCAAGCGUUAUCCGGAAUUACUGGGUGUAAAGGGAGCGUAGACGGUGAAGUAAGUCUGGAGUGAAAGGCGGGGGCCCAACCCCCGGACUGCUCUGGAAACUAUUUGACUGGAGUGCAGGAGAGGUAAGCGGAAUUCCUAGUGUAGCGGUGAAAUGCGUAGAUAUUAGGAGGAACACCAGUGGCGAAGGCGGCUUACUGGACUGUAACUGACGUUGAGGCUCGAAAGCGUGGGGAGCAAACAGGAUUAGAUACCCGAGUA
This 445-nucleotide ribosomal RNA is filed under the name uncultured bacterium. RNAcentral's name for it is "bacterial SSU rRNA". It matches the Rfam family "Bacterial small subunit ribosomal RNA", at positions 330 to 792 of the family's 1533-position model. The record is from RNAcentral.